Solanum dulcamara is the source of this 257-nucleotide long non-coding RNA. RefSeq lists it as uncharacterized. The transcript is spliced from 3 exons. The record is from RefSeq and is a predicted model, not a curated record. NCBI's taxonomy places the organism in Eukaryota, Viridiplantae, Streptophyta, Magnoliopsida, Solanales, Solanaceae.
UGAGUCUUAUGACUCAUUAAUUUCCACACCUAUCUAGAAAAUUCAAGACUAACAAAACGAAAUUACAAGAGAAAGAAAGAAGAGAAGAGAAGAGAAAUUAAGGUAGAAAGAAGGAAAGAGCUACGAUUUUGGGAGGAGAAAAAGCCCAAAACGUUACCAAACAGCCAAUAAGUUUCAGCUGCGCUAAAGGAAAUUCCGAGGCAAGUUUUGGCGAGUUUUGGUGAAUUUCGGAAAAGGUUCAAGAGACGACGAGGCGA